AGCUCCAAUAGCGUAUAUUAAAGUUGUUGCAGUUAAAAAGCUCGUAGUUGAACUUUGGGCCUGGCUGGGCGGUCAGCCAAAUGGUUAGCACUGCUUUGGCCGGGCCUUUCCUUCUGGAGAGGCGGCAUGCCCUUCACUGGGUGUGCCUCGGAUCCAGGACUUUUACCUUGAAAAAAUUAGAGUGCUCAAAGCAGGCAUUUGCUUGAAUAGAUUAGCAUGGAAUAAUAAAAUAGGACGUGUGGUUCUAUUUUGUUGGUUUCUAGGACCACCGUAAUGAUUAAUAGGGAUAGUUGGGGGCAUUAGUAUUCAAUUGUCAGAGGUGAAAUUCUUGGAUUUAUUGAAGACUAACUACUGCGAAAGCAUUUGCCAAGGAUGUUUUCA
Molecule: ribosomal RNA, 381 nt
Filed under: uncultured eukaryote
Lineage: Eukaryota
Description: SSU rRNA
Rfam family: Eukaryotic small subunit ribosomal RNA
Source: RNAcentral